This 1407-nucleotide ribosomal RNA is filed under the name uncultured bacterium. RNAcentral describes it as "bacterial SSU rRNA". It matches the Rfam family "Bacterial small subunit ribosomal RNA". The record is from RNAcentral.
GAUUAAUGCUAGCUGUGCGCCUAACACAUGCAAGUCGAGCGAGAGCAGGACAUUAGCUUGCUAAAGUUCUGUGAAAGCGGCAAACGGGUGAGUAACACGUUGGUAUCUACCUCUUACUCGGGAAUAAUUCAUCGAAAGGUGGACUAAUACCGGAUGGUCCCGCAAGGGUAAAGCUACGGCGGUAAGAGAGGAACCUGCGUCCUAUCAGCUUGUUGGCGGGGUAAAAGCCCACCAAGGCUAUGACGGGUAGUUGGUCUGAGAGGACGACCAGCCACAAUGGAACUGAGACACGGUCCAUACUCCUACGGGAGGCAGCAGUGAGGAAUUUUCCGCAAUGGCCUUUUGGCUGACGGAGCGACACAGCGUGGAGGACGAAGGAUUUCGGUUCGUAAACUCCUUUUCUGAGGGAAUAAGGUCUGAAGUUACCUCAGGAAUAAGCACCGGCUAACUACGUGCCAGCAGCCGCGGUAAUACGUAGGGUGCAAGCAUUAUCCGGAAUUAUUGGGCGUAAAGCGUCUGUAGGCGGUUUGUUAAGUAGGAGAUAAAAUCUUCGAGCCCAACUCGAAACAUGUUUCCUAAACUGGUGAACUAGAGGUAUGGAGGGGUAACUGGAAUUUCUGGUGUAGGGGUAAAAUCCGUUGAUAUCAGAAGGAACGCUAAAAGCGAAGGCAGGUUACUGGCCAUUUCUGACGCUGAGAGACGAAAGCGUGGGUAGCAAACAGGAUUAGAUACCCUGGUAGUCCACGCCGUAAACGAUGAGUACUAGGUGUUAGUAGUUCGAUCCUACUAGUGCCGUAGCUAACGCGUUAAGUACUCCGCCUGAGGACUACGGUCGCAAGAUUAAAACUCAAAGGAAUAGACGGGGACCCACACAAGCGGUGGAGCAUGUUGUUUAAUUCGACGACAAACGGAGAACCUUACCCAGGCUUGACAUCCAGAGAACCUGCUAGAAAUAGCGGGGUGCCGCAAGGAGCUCUGAGACAAGCGCUGCAUGGUCGUCGUCAGCUCGUGCCUUGAGGUGUUCGGUUAGGUCCGUGAACGAGCGCAACCCACGUCAUGUGUUAUAUAUUUCACAUGAGACUGCCCGUGUUAAACGGGAGGAAGGUGUGGAUGACGUCAGAUCAGCAUGGCCUUUAUGCCUGGGGCUACUAACGUGCUACAAUGGAGUGUACAAAGGGUAGCGAAACUGUAAAGUGGAGCCAAUCCCAUCAAAGCACUUCCCAGUUCGGAUUGAGGGCUGCAACUCGACCUCAUGAAGCUGGAAUCGCUAGUAAUCGUGUAUCAGAUAUGACACGGUGAAUAUGUUCCUGGGUCUUGUACUCACCGCCCGUCAAGUCAUGGAAGGUAGGGGCACUCGACGUCCUCCGAUCAAUUAGGAGGCCUAAGGUGACACUACUGACUGGGACU